Molecule: microRNA precursor, 95 nt
Filed under: Canis lupus familiaris (dog)
Lineage: Eukaryota; Metazoa; Chordata; Mammalia; Carnivora; Canidae
Also listed under: 1 other name
Description: mir-8799 microRNA precursor family
Rfam family: mir-8799 microRNA precursor family
Source: Rfam by way of RNAcentral
CGGUGGAGCGCAAGAUCCUGGGCUGUGUCCCCUGGCACCGUGGGAUCCGGGGCCUGUGCUGCUGGCAUUGUGCUCCUGGGGCCACGCAACCCCCU